RNAcentral lists this ribosomal RNA (252 nucleotides) under Muribaculum intestinale. RNAcentral's name for it is "partial 16S ribosomal RNA". It matches the Rfam family "Bacterial small subunit ribosomal RNA", at positions 524 to 776 of the family's 1533-position model. The record is from RNAcentral. Lineage: Bacteria; Pseudomonadati; Bacteroidota; Bacteroidia; Bacteroidales; Muribaculaceae.
UACGGAGGAUGCGAGCGUUAUCCGGAUUUAUUGGGUUUAAAGGGUGCGCAGGCGGACUGUCAAGUCAGCGGUAAAAUGUCGGGGCUCAACCCCGGCCGGCCGUUGAAACUGGUGGUCUGGAGUUGGAGAGAAGUAUGCGGAAUUCGUGGUGUAGCGGUGAAAUGCAUAGAUAUCACGAAGAACUCCGAUUGCGAAGGCAGCAUACCGGCUCCAUACUGACGCUGAGGCACGAAAGCGUGGGGAUCGAACAGG